GUGGGAAAGUAGGUAGAGGUGGGGGCUUGAAAUGAGGCGGAAAAUUAGGAUGUUUAUGAUGUGGUGGAGGCUUGAAGGUAAAUGGAGAUGGUGGGGAUUCUAUCGGAGGAACUGAUCCUGGUGGUGGCGGUGGACAUGUGUUAAUAUAAUGAGGUGGACCCGAGUAUGACGGUGGUGAUGGAGUUGGUGAGGGGGAACUUUUCGGGGGAGAUUUAUAGACGUAAGGUGAUGGUGAAGGUGAGGGAGAUGGUUGUUCUUUGGAUGGAGAUGGGGGAGAUUUGUAGACGUAAGGCGAUGGAGGAGAUUCAGUUGGGGGUGUUGAUGGUGAACUUGAUGGAGGGGGUUUGUAGGUGAAGGGCGAUGGAGGAGUUUCGGGGGAAGAUGAUGUUGGAGGAGGUGUUAGGCAUGCAUUGAUCGGAGGUGAUGGUGGAGGAGGAGGUGUUAGGCAUGCAUUGAUCGGAGGUGAUGGUGAUGGUGAAGUUGAUGGCGGAGACUUAUAGACGUAAGGAGAUGGAGGAGAUUCUUUUGGUGCCGGAGAUGGAGAUGGUGGAGAUUUAUAUACAAAAGGUGAUGGAGGAGAUUCUUUUGGUUUUGGAGAUGGAGAGGGGGAGGAUGAUGGUGGAGAUUUGUAGACAAAAGGAGAUGGAGGGGAUUCUUUAGGAGUUGAAGGAGAAGAGGGUGGUGGU
Molecule: long non-coding RNA, 686 nt
Filed under: Daucus carota (carrot)
Lineage: Eukaryota; Viridiplantae; Streptophyta; Magnoliopsida; Apiales; Apiaceae
Description: long non-coding RNA (DCAR_LNC000412)
Source: RNAcentral